GCAUCGAUGAAGAACGCAGCGAAAUGCGAUAAGUAAUGUGAAUUGCAGAAUUCAGUGAAUCAUCGAAUCUUUGAACGCACAUUGCGCCCGCCAGUAUUCUGGCGGGCAUGCCUGUUCGAGCGUCAUUUCAACCCUCAAGCACAGCUUGGUGUUGGGACUCGCGUUAAUUCGCGUUCCUCAAAUUGAUUGGCGGUCACGUCGAGCUUCCAUAGCGUAGUAGUAAAACCCUCGUUACUGGUAAUCGUCGCGGCCACGCCGUUAAACCCCAACUUCUGAAUGUUGACCUCGGAUCAGGUAGGAAUACCCGCUGAACUUAAGCAUAUCAAUAAGCGGAGGA
This 337-nucleotide ribosomal RNA is filed under the name uncultured Hypocreales. RNAcentral's name for it is "eukaryotic LSU rRNA". The stretch from base 1 to 125 matches the Rfam family "5.8S ribosomal RNA", at positions 30 to 154 of the family's 154-position model. The record is from RNAcentral. Lineage: Eukaryota; Fungi; Ascomycota; Sordariomycetes; Hypocreales.